Molecule: ribosomal RNA, 2876 nt
Filed under: Pedobacter sp. SL55
Lineage: Bacteria; Pseudomonadati; Bacteroidota; Sphingobacteriia; Sphingobacteriales; Sphingobacteriaceae
Description: 23S ribosomal RNA
Rfam family: Bacterial large subunit ribosomal RNA
Source: RNAcentral
GAAGAAAGUAAUAAAGAGUACACGGGGGAUGCCUUGGCUCUCGGAGGCGAUGAAGGACGUGAUAAGCUGCGAUAAGCAUCGGGGAUCUGCAAAUGAGAAUUGAUCCGGUGAUUUCCGAAUGGGGCAACCCGGCAUGUUGAAGACAUGUCACAAUAAGAGCGAACCUGCCGAACUGAAACAUCUAAGUAAGCAGAGGAAUAGAAAAUAACAAUGAUUUCCUAAGUAGUGGCGAGCGAAAGGGAAAGAGCCCAAACCAAUAUUGUUACGGCAAUGUUGGGGUUGUAGGACUGUGAUGUGGUUAUAAUGCAGCGAAGUGGAACGGGAUGGGAAGCCCGGCAAUAUAGCGUGAGAGCCGCGUACACGUAAGCACCAUUAGCCUAACAGUAUCCUGAGUACCGCGAGGUCGGAGACGCCUUGUGGGAAUCUGCCGGCACCAUCCGGUAAGGCUAAAUACUCCCGAGAGACCGAUAGUGAACCAGUACCGUGAGGGAAAGGUGAAAAGAACCCCGAACAGGGGAGUGAAAUAGAACCUGAAACCGUGUACUUACAAGCGGUCGGAGCACCUUCGUGGUGUGACGGCGUGCCUUUUGCAUAAUGAGCCUACGAGUUACUCUUCACUGGCAAGGUUAAGUGCUUUAGGCACGGAUCCGAAGCGAAAGCGAGUCUGAACAGGGCGCAUAGUCAGUGGAGGUAGACGCGAAACCUUGUGAUCUACCCUUGGGCAGGUUGAAGGUGCGGUAACACGUACUGGAGGACCGAACCGAUAAACGUUGAAAAGUUUCCGGAUGACCUGAGGGUAGGGGUGAAAGGCUAAUCAAACUGGGAAAUAGCUCGUACUCCCCGAAAUGUUUUUAGGAACAGCGUCGGUGUUGAGUUAUAUAGAGGUAGAGCUACUGAUUGGGUGCGGGGGAGUCAAAUCCUACCAAAUCCAGACAAACUCCGAAUGCUAUAUAAUAUAACCGGCAGUGAGGCUCAGGGUGCUAAGGUCCUGGGCCGAGAGGGAAAGAACCCAGACCAUCAGCUAAGGUCCCUAAAUUAUAGUUAAGUUGAACUAACGAGGUGCGGUUGCAUAGACAGCUAGGAUGUUGGCUUGGAAGCAGCCAUUCAUUUAAAGAGUGCGUAACAGCUCACUAGUCGAGCGGCCGUGCAUGGAUAAUAAACGGGCAUCAAACUAUAUACCGAAGCUAUGGGAUUGAAAUAUAUCGGUAGGGGAGCAUUCUGGCGGCAGUGAAGUUGCAGCGUGAGCUGUGGUGGAGCUUCCAGAAAAGCAAAUGUAGGCAUAAGUAACGAUAAGGCGGGAGAGAAACCCGCCCACCGAAAGGAUAAGGUUUCCUGAUCAACGCUAAUCGGAUCAGGGUUAGUCGGGGCCUAAGGCGAACCCGAAGGGGGUAGUCGAUGGACAACGGUUUAAUAUUACCGUACCUUUUAUAGAUGCGAUGUGGGGACGGAGUAGUGGAACUGCCGCGAUCUGACGGAAUAGAUCGUUGAAGGCUGUAGGUAUAGGACUGGUAGGCAAAUCCGCCGGUCCUGCUGAACGCUGAUAGUACCGCGAGCCUUCGGGCAAGUGGAUAGCGCAGGUAAUCAGACUUCCAAGAAAAACCGCUAAGCUCCAGUCUAUAAAAGCCCGUACCGCAAACCGACACAGGUAUCCGGGAAGAGGAUUCCAAGGUGCUCGAGUGAAUCAUGGCUAAGGAACUCGGCAAAAUGGCCCUGUAACUUCGGGAGAAGGGGCGCUGGCAGCAAUGUCAGCCGCAGUGAAAAGGCCCAGGCGACUGUUUAACAAAAACACAUGGCUUUGCAAAAUCGAAAGAUGAGGUAUAAGGCCUGACACCUGCCCGGUGCUGGAAGGUUAAGAGGGGAUGUCAGCCGCAAGGCGAAGCAUUGAAUCGAAGCCCCAGUAAACGGCGGCCGUAACUAUAACGGUCCUAAGGUAGCGAAAUUCCUUGUCGGGUAAGUUCCGACCUGCACGAAUGGUGUAACGAUCUGGGCGCUGUCUCAGCCAUGAGCUCGGUAAAUUGUGGUCCCGGCGAAGACGCCGGGUACCCGCAACGGGACGGAAAGACCCCAUGCACCUUCACUACAGUUUAACAUUGACAUUGGGUACAGGAUGUGUAGGAUAGGUGGGAGGCUUUGAAGCGGCGUCGCCAGGCGUCGUGGAGCCAACGUUGAAAUACCACCCUUUCUGUAUUCGGUGUCUAACCCCGCUGAGCGGGGGACAUUGUUUGAUGGGUAGUUUGACUGGGGUGGUCGCCUCCAAAAAGGUAACGGAGGCUUUCAAAGGUAAGCUCAGUACGCUUGGUAACCGUACGGGGAGUGCAAUAGCAUAAGCUUGCUUGACUGUGAGGCAUACAGGCCGAUCAGGGUCGAAAGACGGAUAUAGUGAUCCGGUGGUUCUGCAUGGAAGGGCCAUCGCUCAAAGGAUAAAAGGUACGCUGGGGAUAACAGGCUGAUCUCCCCCAAGAGCUCAUAUCGACGGGGAGGUUUGGCACCUCGAUGUCGGCUCGUCACAUCCUGGGGCUGGAGAAGGUCCCAAGGGUUCGGCUGUUCGCCGAUUAAAGUGGCACGCGAGCUGGGUUCAGAACGUCGCGAGACAGUUCGGUCCCUAUCUGUUGUGGGCGUUGGAAUCUUGAGUGGGGCUGACCUUAGUACGAGAGGACCGGGUUGGACCAGCCUCUAGUGAACCUGUUGUUCCGCCAGGGGCAUUGCAGGGUAGCUACGCUGGGAAUAGAUAAGCGCUGAAAGCAUCUAAGUGCGAAACUAGCCACGAGAUGAGGAUUCCAUAUAGGGCCGUAGCAGACUACUACGUUGAUAGGAUACAGAUGUAAAGGUGGCGACACCACAGUCGAGUAUUACUAAUAGCCCGAGGCUUUCAUCAA